This is a long non-coding RNA of Pyrgilauda ruficollis (rufous-necked snowfinch), 702 nucleotides long. RefSeq lists it as uncharacterized. Lineage: Eukaryota; Metazoa; Chordata; Aves; Passeriformes; Passeridae. The record is from RefSeq and is a predicted model, not a curated record. The transcript is spliced from 2 exons.
UAAAAACCAAAGGAAGGAAGCCCCAAAACAUGAGUAGAGACACCCCAUGAACAUUGGCACCAUAAAAACGCUCCAGGACUUCUCUGUCCCUUUCCCAAAUUGUCCCUGGCAGUUCUCUGAGUCCUGUCCCUGCUCUGGAGCUGUUUGGGACGGGGAGAUCUGCAAGUUCUUUCUAAACGUGGAUUUCUCACCGUUCACCCCCUUUUUCGACAAGGAGCAAUUCCUGAUUUAUUGGGAGUUUGGAGAAGCAUUCUGGGCCGGGAAGAGGCAGGGCUGUGUCACACUGUGCCUCCAAAGGAGCAGAUAAUAAAUGCAUGAGCAGCCUAUUUAUAACAGCGGCACCAGCCAGGGGGAAAAUCACCGGGGAAUAUUGAGCAACCCCGAAAAGGGGGAGGGAGGAAGAGCCGGAGCUGAUCCCAAAGCUCUGCCCGCAGCCGCCGUUCCUGCAGGGAGGAUCAUUAAACCUGGCAUGGUGGCUCUGGAAUUCUGGAAUUCUCAUCCCUGGUAUUGCCACUCGUCCCGGCAGGGAAAAUGAAGCUGCCCCGAGAAUAUUCUCAGGGGGAAAAAUUAGGAAAAAAAAAAAAUCACAUUCUGCUGCUUGUUCCGCGGGAAUGGGAAAUGCCAGUGCUGAGCAUCUUCACUCCAAGAAAUCAGCGGUGCAAAUUCCCCGAGUGCUUUACGGCCAAUAAAUGUUCAUUUUCC